RNAcentral lists this ribosomal RNA (253 nucleotides) under uncultured bacterium. RNAcentral describes it as "partial 16S ribosomal RNA". It matches the Rfam family "Bacterial small subunit ribosomal RNA", at positions 524 to 776 of the family's 1533-position model. The record is from RNAcentral.
UACGUAGGGUGCAAGCGUUAAUCGGAAUUACUGGGCGUAAAGUGUGCGCAGGCGGUUGUGCAAGACCGAUGUGAAAUCCCCGGGCUUAACCUGGGAAUGGCAUUGGUGACUGCACGGCUAGAGUGUGUCAGAGGGGGGUAGAAUUCCACGUGUAGCAGUGAAAUGCGUAGAGAUGUGGAGGAAUACCGAUGGCGAAGGCAGCCCCCUGGGAUAACACUGACGCUCAUGCACGAAAGCGUGGGGAGCAAACAGG